This 19-nucleotide small nuclear RNA is filed under the name Arabidopsis thaliana (thale cress). RNAcentral's name for it is "snRNA_09491". Lineage: Eukaryota; Viridiplantae; Streptophyta; Magnoliopsida; Brassicales; Brassicaceae. The record is from RNAcentral.
ACGGUAGCUACUAAAGCAU